UAGCAGGCCUUGCACUGUAAUAAGUUAAAUCGUCACAUCAAAUACCACGAACACAAUAGCCGUAGAACAUUACACGAAUUGCAUUCAUCAAGGCGAAAUCGGAUUGGUUGUCGCUUCAAAGUACUCUUUAUCGCUCAACACAGACUUUGUUUUGAGUUCCUAGCUUAGAUAGCCAGCAAGGGGGACACAUUUGCUCAAAAAGUGAAAGUUCGGUUUCAAAAAACAGUGACUGGAUUAAUUAGCAGAACGUUAAACGAGAAAUGUAAGUACCAGGGAUGAAACGCUAGUACGGUAGCAGACAGCCAUUAUUAAUAAGAAUGUACUCUUAGCUCCGUAUGCAAAUAAGCGUCGUAAUGACUUGGGGUUUUCUGGAACAGGUGCCGGGCAUGAACGAAUAAAUCAAGAACUGUUCAUAAAUGAAUACUACUCCAAUCUGAAUUGAAACAUGCGCGCCAAACGCUGCUUUAAACAGUGAUUGCUUCUGAUACGGGCCUCAUCAAAGUUAUUGUAAGGAUGGCUUAAAGAAGAAACAUUUUCUAUAAUGAAGCUCGAAGGAAUAACGCUAGAUAAAUCUGAUUCGAAUGCAUCCAAAUCUACCUCAAGAAAGGACAGAGUUAUCAUUAACGUUGGAGGAAAUCGCCACGAGACUUAUUUGAGUACACUAAGAGUCGUUCCAGAUUCCAGACUAGCUUGGAUUGGCGAAAACACGUCGAAACAGGCCGAAUACGACCCAGAAACCAACGAACUGUUUUUCGACAGACAUCCAGGUGUAUUUGCUAAUAUCUUGAAUUACUAUCGAACGGGUAAACUUCAUUGCCCAGGCGAUGUUUGUGGCCCACUUUUCGAAGAAGAAUUAGCGUUUUGGGGAAUAGAAGAGCUGCAAAUGGAGCCUUGUUGCUGGAGUAAUUAUACCCAGCAUAGGGAAGCGCAAGCAACUCUCAAGGCCUUUGAGGGUUUACAAAAGGGCAACGGGGACUCUGACAACGAUAACAGUGCAAUGGGACUUGAUCAAUCUACAAGAAUAGAGAAAACAACCAAGGAACGUUUCUGGGCACUUUUAGAACAGCCGUACUCAUCCAAAUAUGCUCAGAUUUUAGCAAUGAUUUCUCUGGCUGUCAUAGCGCUCUCCGUGUCAACUUUUUGCGUAGAAUCCAUGCAAUACUUCAAACAAUACAGAGAAGUAUUCCGAGGACUGGAAUAUCUUUAUUGUGUUUGGUUUACAGUGGAAUUUGUGGCUCGAUUCUUUGCAUGCCCUUCUAAAAUAGCUUAUUUCAAAAGUUUCAUGACUUGGGUUGAUCUUUUGUCAGUGAUACCCCUUUACAUUAGCUUGGCCAAUCAAGUAGAAGAAUUGGAUUUCUUGUUUGUCUUACGACUUGUAAGGAUUUUUAGGUUAUUUCGAUUUUUUCGCACAAUGAGCGGGAUGCAGGUCAUAGGACACACUCUUCGAGCAAGUGCCAGAGAACUUUUUCUCUUAAUUUUAAUACUCUCCAUUCCAAUGGUCAUUUUCUCUACCUUACUGUUUUACGCAGAAAAAUGGAAAUUUGGAGAACACACCGACUUUCCUAAUAUUCCCGAGACAUUCUGGUGGGCUGUUAUUACUAUGACAACCGUUGGUUACGGAGAUGUCUAUCCAAAGUCUGCUUUUGGUAAAAUGAUCGGCACGGUUUGCGCGUGCGUGGGGGUGCUUAUCGUAGCCCUUCCUGUUUCUGUUAUUGGUAGCAAUUUUACUUUGUUCUAUUCCCAUGCCCAAGCUCAGUUAAAACUUCCAAAAAAGAAAAAAAAGCCCUUGCUUCUUGGGGCAGCUGGUGUUUUAGUGUCAAAUACGAGUCUACAGGAUAUAGAUGGUGAUGAAGAUGAUGAUGAUAACGAUAAUGGUAAGGAUGGCAGUGAUGCUGGAGAGGGAAAAAUAGAACCAAGAUACUCUGUAUCAGAGUUUAGACACCUGAGAAAUCCAUCUAUCCACCCAAGGUCAAGAUCGGUGAGACGAAAAGCUCAAGGAGACANAGAUUUGCCAGCUGCUUUGUCGUCAAAGUUUCAGAAGGCAGAGUCGGACAACUCUGAUUCUGAGCUACCUUGCGUUACAAAAAUGCCGCUUCUUAGUUUAGGUCACUCAGAUACAUCAAAUAUGUCAAAUAUAUCAAAUGGGUUAAAAGGUAUAAGUGACGUGAUGUUGCAGAUUACUGCACCUGUGACUCGACGAAUGGCGAUUUCUCCCAUCGCUACUCCUCCUGCAAGAAGAAGCAGUCGAAGGAAGAAGAGAAGUAAGAGGGCAUCAGGCACUGGAAACGAAGAGUCAUCGGGUUACGAGCGUGAAAGUUUCUACACCACAGAUGCUGACAGUGCGGCUGAAAAUAAUCAUGCACGCCUAGAGGAAUUGCGAGAACAGAUGAGAAUACAAAAAAACCAGUCACUAUCCUCUAACUCCUCGAAUUACUAUAAUCCUCAUUCGAGUAAAGAAAAUAUAACCUCAAGUGAAGAUAAUGCUCGCUCGCCUUUAAGCCACGAAAGCGCCUUAAGAGAAAUCGAUUUGAAGAACAUUCAUGAUGAAGGGACAGCUGCACCAAAUAUGUGUUUACCUUGUAAUGAAAACAAACUACCGGAUGGAUAUAUUGAACCUACUAAAAAGGAGGAAGGUAAAACAGAGAUUCAAGAAGGUGAAAGUAUCAAAGAGACUAAUUUAUCAGGCGUUUCUGAUCCCUCGUCAAAGGACGAUAGAGAGGACGAUAAACUAGAACAUUUACUAAGUAAUCAUGACUCUUCUCAGAAUGUUACAACUCCUGAGAAGCCACCUCCGAACAUAUGGGAUAGACCACCUGACUUAGAUAUGAAUACAUGGGUUAAACAACCCAAAGUUAGAUCUCGAUCAAAUGCUUUUAGAAGAUUACCUGAACUUUCAAAAGACGUCAAGAACGAUAGAUUGCCGCGGAACGACACGCUUCAACCAAGAAGGGAAAACAUUUCUGUUACAUUUGACGAUACCCCGAAGCGAAAUCGGUGCAAUGGGUCUACAAACGAUCUUCGUGUUCCUUGCAGUGCGCAUGAACGAAAGAAUGUUUGUGAUACGAAGAAUUCUGGUACUGCACACGCAGGAAUAUUAAAAGACAGAACUCACUCAAGAUCACUAGAUCGAUUGCGAAAAAGCCCAGAUUCGUGUCGAAAACAUAAUGAAGAUGUUAUAUUAAUUGAAAGUAACAUUGCCCCGGAUAUUGAGCGAACACACCCUAGGAGUAAUACUAUAGUAUAACUGUUCUAUUGCAGAACUAAGUUAAUGGUGCAUCAUACAGUAGAAGAAAACCCUCGUUAAGUUUUAAAUAAUGAGGGUUGGAGUUUUUCAAUUUUAUGCUGAAAAAAGGUAAUCAAGAGACAAGCUGAAUCAACAGGAUAUUACAAAGCCAUUGCGCUUAGUAACCUGGGUUACUAAGUGACUUGAGAAUGUCAUUCAGACUUUUGAAGCGAUAUUCAUCAAGGGUUGGCUUUGCUGUUGGUAAGAAGGUUGAGGACACUUGUUCCAGACGCCGGAUAAAUAAUUUACCCACGAGUGGCCAUAGAGGGACAAUGCUCCAACUGGUCUCGCGCAGACGCUGGCGUGCCUCAGAGCUCGGUACUUGGGCCAUUGUUGUACNUUGUUUAUAUUGAAAUUUGUGAUAACAUUCAAUCCAAAUGUCUUCUUUAUGCAGAAUAAUACUUUGUUGUUUGAUGUCGUUGACAAUCCUGGAGAAUCAUCACAAAAACUAACGACUUAAAUAUCAUAAACCAAUGGUGUGAUAGGUGGUUGAUGAAGAAGAAUACGACUAAAAUAUAUCACCCUACUCUCGUUUUUUAAAUAUUUCUGUCAAAGAGGUAGGCUCUCACACACCUUGGCUUAGUCUUAUCACAUGAUUUCUCCUGGAAGGAGUAUAUAUUAAUACUACAUCAAAAGGCAAGUAAAGCCUUGAACUUGUUUAAAGUACAAACUACAUCGUUCUUCCAUGAGCCUGGUUAGACCUUUGAUGGAAUAUGCAGAUGUCAUAUGGGUUGGGUGUAGUGAGGCUNAAAGUGAUUUAUUAGAGNGUGUGCAAUAUGAGUCAGCUCGUGUUGUUACUGAGGUAUUAAAGGAACAAGUAAAAUCAAGCUUUUAAAGGAGCUGAGUUGGGAAGAUCUUAAAAAUAGAAGAUCUUUUCAUAAACUAUGUCUUUUCUAUAAAAUGGUCAAUCACAUAACUCCAGCAUACCUUUUCAAUUUUCUGCCAUUAAAAGUAAGUCAAAGGUCAAAGUAUUCUUUGAUAUCUAGUCUCGGGAUCUACUGAAGAUUCCUCGUUAAUCCCCACUCGUACCAAUAGAUUUAGAAGAUCCUUUCUACCAUCGGUUAUCCCACAAUGGAAUAAAUUAGACAAAACUAUCCGAACCGCUUGUCCUAGUGAUGAUUUUAAGACUAAACUUCGUGGCAAUUUUCGUACUGAAUACAAUCGAUUAUUUGAUACCACUCUCAAUAGACAAACCUCUAUGUUACACAUUAGACUUAGACUUGGUCAUUGUGCAUGAAAUUUUUACUGAUUCAAAAUUUCUUGCAAACCAACACCACUUUGCGAUUGCAAUGAUGUAUCNGUUGAAUCCAUCUCUCACUAUUUCUGUUCCCGACAUCCCGCCCAAUCACAGCUUUUCCAACAACUUACUUCAGAGUCUGAUAAAGUAAACUCCUUUUUUCUAUGUGGUUCUCCNCAUUUAACUUUUAAGCAAAAUCAAAAACUGUUCUUGAGUGUCCAACAAUAUUUGANAGACACCAAAAGAUUUGUAUAGAGUAAAGAACGCUUAAUUGAUUUUGUAGAUAUAUUUUCUUUUCCGUUGUACUUUUUAUACGUAUAUAUGUUUUUUUCUUUCUUUCUAAUAUGUUACAUGUAAUCUCCCACGAUGUAAUCGCCAUUGUACUUUUUCUAUAUUUAUGUUUUUAUUUUUUCUUGCUAAUAUGUUAAACUUAUUUCUCUUUUUCCUUUUCCUAAAAACUCCAAAAGCAUUGUAAUUAUGUUCUGUGUAAUCUCCCACGAUGAGCUUAGCCGCUCUUGGAGCAAACACAGAGGGUUAGUAUGUUUAAAUAAAAAAUAAUAGUAAUAAUAAUAA
RNAcentral lists this unclassified non-coding RNA (5093 nucleotides) under Actinia tenebrosa (Australian red waratah sea anemone). RNAcentral describes it as "potassium voltage-gated channel subfamily B member 1- like, transcript variant X1". The stretch from base 1610 to 1723 matches the Rfam family "Potassium channel RNA editing signal". The record is from RNAcentral. Lineage: Eukaryota; Metazoa; Cnidaria; Anthozoa; Actiniaria; Actiniidae.